RNAcentral lists this ribosomal RNA (1461 nucleotides) under uncultured Tubulinea. Its description in RNAcentral is "partial Bacterial small subunit ribosomal RNA". It matches the Rfam family "Bacterial small subunit ribosomal RNA". The record is from RNAcentral. Lineage: Eukaryota; Tubulinea.
UAGCGUAUGAUUUUGGCGCUGAGUGAGUGCUAAUGGUGGACUUAACACAUGCAAGGGUAAUAUUCUAUAUUAUUUAGAAUGCCCGUAAGGGUGAGUAUUAAUCGAUAUUAGCUAGCCUAUGUUAAGCAAAAUAAGCUUAAUAAAGUAAAUAGAUUUAUAAUUUUUAUAUAAAGAGAUACGAAGUUUUUGACACAUAGGAAUGUAUCGUAAAUGAUAAGGUAGUAGGUUUAAGGUAAAAGCUUACCUAGCCGAAGACCGGUACCAGGACUGAGAGGGUAAACUGGCACAGCGGGGGAGAGAUGACCCGAACGUUAAGGCGGCAGCAGUGAGGGAUUUUGGACAAGGUUUAAUGCACGAUCCAGUUAUGCCGUGUGGGCUAAAUUUAGCACAGUUGUAGAAAGAUUGUUCGCUUAAGAAGGCAGAGUCGAAAGGUCAGUGAAAUAAUGAUAAUAGUGAUAGUAAUUAUUGGAAAGGGCUGUCUAACUUCGUGCCAGCAGUCGCGGUAACACGGGGGGCCCAAGUGCUACUCAUCUUGAUUGGGUGUAAAGGGAAGUAAAACUGUCCAUAAAGUUUUGAGUAAAAAACUCGGGUUGAUCUGAGGAUAACUCAUUUAACUUAUGGUCUUUGUAUUUUUUUGAGGUACGUGGUAUUAUAAAUUAGGAGGUAGAAUUCUAAGAUUUAUAAGACCAUCAUGCGGAGCAAUCGGCGUACUGUGAAAGAAUAGACGUUAGUAAUCGAAAGCGUAGGGAGUGAAAAGGAUUAGAUACCCUUGUAAUCUACGCUGUGACCGAUGGAUAUUUGGCGCUGGACAUCUAGGAGGUUUUAAAUCCUUUGUGACUUGUACCGGUGGUGAAGCUUACGCGUAAAUAUCUCACCUGGGGAAAUAUGGUCGCAAGAUGUAAACCUAAGAAAAUUGGCGGAGUGUAUUACCAGCAGUGGAUCAUGUUGAUUAAUCUGAUGAUCCGCGUUUAAUCUUACCAAACCUAGAUAUAUGCCCCAAGAUAAAGUUAUAUUUAUAAGUAGUAGGUUUUUUUCAAAUUUAUAUUAAAAAUUGAGAGAAUACUUUAGGUCCAGGUGUUGCAUGGCCGCCGUCAGCUCGUGUAGUGAUAUGUCGCCUUAACUGGAUAAACGGGCGUAACCCAUGAAAUUGAGUGAAAAUAAUAAAUACAAUUUAGCAAAUCAUGCAAUAUGAUAGUUAGUAGUGGAUGACGACUGGUCGUCAUGGCCUUAAUGGUUUGGGCUUCAAAUGUGAUACAACGGUUGGUACAACAAGAUGCUAUUCAUAAGUGAUUAGGCGCUAGUCUGAUAAAACCAAUCUCUUGUUCGGAUUAUUCCCUGAAAUAGGAAUAUGAAGAUGGAAUUGCUAGUAAUCGCGGAUCAUCACACCGCGGUGAAUACUUGCCUGCGCUCGUACAUACCGCCCGUGGCCCAGCGAAAGCUGGGGUGGCUGGACGUAGUUUA